This 639-nucleotide long non-coding RNA is filed under the name Dromaius novaehollandiae (emu). Its description in RNAcentral is "lncRNA (ENSDNVG00000002332.1)". Lineage: Eukaryota; Metazoa; Chordata; Aves; Casuariiformes; Dromaiidae. The record is from RNAcentral.
AUUGGAAAGGUCUUGAAUUAUUGUAUCGCCUUAAAAGGUAUGUAGUUUGAGGUACCUGAGAGUCUCCUAGGGUAUUUGGGUCAUGACUUCAUUUUUCUAAAUAAAGGAUUGAAAGAGCAUUUUUCUAGAUUUUGAACAGUCUGUCUCACCAAAUUUGUCACUCCUUUGACCAAAAGUGUAGUACUUACUAGCUUCAAAAUUCCUAAAUAUGUGAACAUUGUUCUUAUGUGAAAUAUACACCCCCCACUUCUUUUUUUUACUAAAAUCUUCUAGGCUUUCUCUUUGAAAACUGACCAUUUCUAUUUGAACAAAAAGAAAGACGCUGAAUCUGAGCAAUGCUGGGCUGGGAAAAUAAGGGUGUCUGGGAACGUGUUACCGUGGCGCUUUGARCAGAGUCUCCGCAGACGCCGCUCUUGGAAGGCAGUUUUAUUCUCUGGAGAUCAUGUUGAAUUGUGGGGAUUGAAAUGAAACUGGUGGAUUUGCCUACUGCCUAAAUAUUUUAUAUCRUCAAAAACACACAGCCCACCUUGUUGUGAGAGGAAGUCGGUGUUCAGAACAAAAAGAUUUGAAGAGACUGAAAAAGUAGGGAUUUAUGGCAGAGCACCAAAGUGAAGGUAGGUAGCUGCUGCAAUACCCACC